Molecule: long non-coding RNA, 8729 nt
Organism: Gallus gallus (chicken)
Lineage: Eukaryota; Metazoa; Chordata; Aves; Galliformes; Phasianidae
Source: Ensembl
GCCCCAGUGGGAAGUCAGCUUGAAAAGGUUACAGAGGCUGCAGUGGGGACCCAAAGUCUGGGGGCCAAAUGGAGAGAUUUAUAUUUUGUGUUGACUGUGACUCCUGUAGCUGCAAGUGUUGGUGAUACAGGCACUUGGAGUUGGGAUGAUGUGCUGUGUAGCUCUCUGAGUACUGCUCUCAGGAGCUGCUUGGGGAAGGGUACGAGAGUGCGGCAAGCGUGGAGUGAUGUUUUCCCAGAGCAGCCUUUUAGCCUCAAGCCAUCUGAAGUUCACAGGUUUCCUGAACCGAAGACGUAAUCUCAGCAGCAAGGAAAUCAUUUCAAGCGUUUCCAGGACUUUGAAAGAAGCAGGAGUUCACUGAGAGGGGAAAACUGCCUGCAGGGCGAGCUUUGUGCGUUUCAUCCACCCGCGGAAUACGUUUCCAGGAGGAAAAACUGCAGCAGAACGAGCCCUAACGCCGCCCGCUCGGCAAGCUAAACGCGGAUCUCGCAAAAUCAUCUCUCGAUGAAGAUUUUUUCACUAAAACCAUGGGAGAAGUUGGGAUUUUCUUUGGUUCGACCCCAAUAGGCAUUCACUGCUGUUUAUCAGACCUUCACGCUGGGCAGGUGUAGCCAUCACAGAACAAGCACACAGUGUGGCAGCACAUGGGAGCACUCUGGAGCAGCGCUCCUGAGCUGGGCAGGUCCUGCCUCCUUCUCCAUCCUCACCACGACCACCUCCAAUGCACAGAGGAGCCCUGGGAUGGGGUGACACAGCCUGUCCUUGCCCUUCUGUUGGUGGUCAGAGGGUCGUGCAAAUUUAGGAUCGAACAAAGCUGUCCAUUAGGAGUCCUCCUGCCUCCACAAGCCGUGCUCUGUGUAGGAUAGAUGCAGUUCUCCUCCAGGCUGAGAUGGAUGCAGCCCAGGAAUCGCCCAAGAGACAAUAAAACAAACGUGAGACAAAGCAUUCAUUUACACCGCUUUAUUUCUGUAGUGGUCAGAGAAACUGGGAUGGACCAUUGUUAAAGAUCACUAUUUCCUGCGCUGCAAUAAAUGUCUCAUCUUCCCUGAUGCUUGUUUAUUUUAUAAAUGUCUCUGCUUUGGCUUUCAUAUUUAGCUACCAGCAGGACACCAUUAUUCCCUGACAGCAUUCUGUUCCUUCUCCAUUGUCAUUACGGCCAAAGCGAUGCUAUAUUGCUGUGUCUGGCCGGGAUGGUGGGGCUUUCUUACCUUGCUUUUCCCAUUGCUUUUCCAAGCUGAACUCCCAGAGAGGCACAGCACAUAGGUGGCAAUGCUAAAAAAGCAGUGCUUUCUUAAAGCGCUAGCAGUGCUGCUUUUCACUUCAAAAAGCAAAACAAAACCCACCAUCCUUUAUUAUGAUUUUUCCAAGCACCAUGGGAAGAAGCCAGGUUUACGCACACGGGCUGUGCCUGCAUUGCAGCCCUGAGGCUGAAGGCACUGAGCAGAGGGUUGGGGGGUGCAGGAGGAGAUGCUCUGGGAUGUGGGCAGCAGCAGAGCCCCAUGGGCUGGGAAGCAGUGACCCUGAGGGCAGCAGCCUGACCCUAUACCCGUGCGGUGUGAUGGGGACCUGCCCAUCUGCACAUGGGAGUAGAUCCGAGUGCCUGUGUAGCACAGCAAGAUUAGCAGUGUAGGGCCUGCUGUAAAGAUCCUUGAAGUCCAUGAGAGCAUUUCCGUUGAUUUCGAAGGCUCUGGAUUACACUCUUUAACAUCCACAAAUGAAAGAUACUGUAUUAGAGCAAACCGUUAUUAUUUAGGGCCACACUGCCCAUCUGUUGUGCUGCUCUCAGGGCAUCACCAGCAGACCAGCAAAACCAACAGAGCCCCAUUACGUACUGCUCUGCCUCUCCUUUAGACUGCUGAAAUCUAAUAACCCACCUAACUCUCAUGGCCCUCAGAAACACACACUGCAUUCCCUUCAACGUGGCCGUGUCUCUCUGCUUUUUUUCCUUGACAAAAUUCCCACGUGGAGGUAUCAGGGCUUUCCUACAGCUCUAUUUCAUUUACAAAAUAAGUGGAUCGUUAUUUUCCUUAAGAACCAAACUUCAGCCAUAAGUAAUUUCUAGAGAUGUGUCAAGUGGCUCAGCAAAAACGUUAAUCUUGAUCUAUUGGUUUGUUAGAUAUGUUUACAUCCAAUCAGUUAGCUCUCCUUAAACAAAAGUGAUUUAAAGCCCUUUCUGGAGAGCAUGAAAAUGAUUCCCCUGGCACUCAGGGCCAUAAUCCAACAAAAGCAGGCUUAUCUUUAAGCAUAUGAGUAGUCCUGCCAAAGUCAAUGGGGCUCCAGAUGUGUUUAAAGAUAAACACACACUUGAGUGCUUCGCUGUGUUGGAACUCUGAAUGUUUUAUUUGCAUUUCAUUUCCAUAGCAGACUUUCAUGUAUAUUGAAAUCUGUAUGCAGCAGAAGGGGAUUGUUGCUGGGUGCUACAUUGAAAUAUGAUUUUUAAGAAUAUGGGAAGAAAAUCCCCCAGUCAAGCAUAUGUCUUUUAAUGAUUGAAAAUAGUUAUUUGAACUACGAGUCCAUAUUUGAAUUGAUUUAUUUUGGGCUUGUAGCAGAAAUGCUAAGUGAUGGCUCGACCCAGUGAUUGAGCACCUGGUGGGAAGGCAGGGCCAACCCAGGGGAGCUCAGGUGCACGCAAUGCAAUGCAAUGCAAUGCAAUGCACCUGAGUGAGCAGAGGGGUGAAGCCAGGAUCCACCCCUUCUCAGACCUCAUUUAAGGGUUGGCUGUGGAGGUGAGGGUAUUUUGCUGAACAUCCUUGCCUACCUGAAGCCUUCCGAACGUAAGCAGCUUUUUGCCUUUAUUUCUGUGCCCGUGGCUGUUGUGUUUGAGCCUAUCCUCACUUGCUGCAGCUUAGGGACUUGCUGCUCUGCUGUCAUUGCUGCACUUUCUAUUAUGUUACAAUGCUUCAGAAGUGCUGCAAACAUGGAAUUGGGUGGCAAAGCCCUGCAGAUUCCCCACCCCUGCUCUGCUACAGGUCCAUGUCCCACUAAAGGCAUGUUACCUCACACACAUCCCCUCACCUUUGCAAACGUGAAUACUAUCAACAUUCAGUUCACCUCACUGCAGCUACCUAUGAGAUGUUUGGGUAGUGGUUUGGCAAUAGGCAAAUCUGAAAGCUGCUUCUAUGGGUAAAAUAAAAUGGUGAAAUUCCUGAUGAGAGAACUACUUGAGCAAAAUAUGCUUCUUGAGCCAUCCCUGCGUCCUAGGGAUCAAGUUAACCUAACAGCAGCUUUAUGCAAACAUUUCUGAGCAGUUCUUAGCAUUUCUCAGAAUGAGCCCAGUUACAGAUGACUGAGCUCAAGGUGAAGGUGUCGCAACAAAAUCACCCCAGCGAGUUAAGCUAAGCAAGGUGAGCUUUCUAACACAGUGGUCUGCAUGGCCCUUUCUAUGAACUGCUUUUGAGCUGAGCUGUGUUGUUUGGACACUUGUUAAAGCUGCUCCACAGACACCUUUGGCAGGAGGAGGAUGAGUACUGCAUGCGUCACUCUGCUCAAAAGCUCUACAGAAUCCGUGGUGUUUUGCCUAUCUGACACUGAACUCCUUUUGGCAACUCAUAUUUGCUUUUUGCCUUGGGAUUUCUCAGUGAAGAAGAACCUGCUGGCUUCUUUUCAGCCUUGAAGUCCAGUUUUUCUGCUGUUCUCUGCCUCUGUGCAGUCAUCUGUCCUUUCCUUCCAACUCAGCCCCACUCCAAACAGCCCUGUGAAGCUCAGUCCAUUAUCCCCUUUCUCCAUAAAACAUUUUUGACUUUUCAUAUGUAAUGCUCUCUAUAAGAAUAAAACACAUUGUGCUGUUUUAAUAGUGUAAUUCUUAAACAGUUAUGGCCCCAUUCUCUUUCAUUCAAAGUGCAUAAUUCCCAUUGACAGUAGUAGAUGGUGAAUUAGUUCCCGCGAUAAAGUGAAAUGGUUAGACACUGGAAGGUCCAAUUCUAUUCUUCAUUAGGAUAAAAUGAAGGUGUAACACACACGAAGAUAGAAAUGAGACAGAAUUUCAUGGAAUGGCUUCAUAUGAAGCAGGCAGUAGGUCACUAGCUGAGCACUCCUAGGAAUUGACCCUAAUCUGGCAGCAGCCUAAAUCAAGAGUAAUUUUAAUAACGUGAGCAGCACUGGAUCUCGGUGGCAGAGCUUCAGGUGGGUCACAGAGUCAUAGAAUUACAGAAUCAUUUGAGUUGGAAGGGACCUUUAAAAGUUAUCUGGACAGACUGUCUCACAACGGGGUUCUCAGAGCUGCAUUCUGCUGGGCUGAAGGAAGCUAUGGGGGUUGGAAUUUGGCUUCCCAUGCAGGUACAUGGGGAUCUGAGCAUUUCAAGAGCAUGCCUUUGGAAACAAGCCAAGAAAUACUUCACAGCCAGAUACCACGUCUUUAUGUCAUGCGUGCCUUACUGAAAGGUAGAGAGUGGGUAGCAUCAUUUCCACACCUUAGAGCUUAACAAUGUACCUUGGCAGGUAUUCAGCAUCCCUGCUGAAUAACCCCUCUGUUUUCUGAAUGUUUUUCACUUUUCUUGGUGAGUGGUCUUAGAUUUAGAGCAUGGCCCUGGAGACCUCAUUCUGUCCCUCUGACACUAUUGACCAGCACGUUUUGUUCUUCUCAUCCACCAAACCAAAAAUGCAAUUUAAUACAAUACAAUAAUAUAAUGAAAAUAAAACAUUUUCCCAUCUAUAAAUAUAAAAUAAGGUUUAUUUCUUUCUUUAUCCAAUUGGUCUUGUCCUGGCUGCAAGCAGUCUCCAAGCAUUUGCCAGCACUACAGACUUCAGGCUUUGCUUUACAAACACAACUUGUUGAGCCAUCCUCCAAGGUUUGGGCAAAGCACCAGCAGAAAGCAGCCCAUGUCCUCAGCCUCACAGCGCACGCACACCUCUUGUACCUCCCUACCUCUGAAGCCCCAGCUGAGCACCAAAAGUAAUGGAGAAACGUUCUUCAGAGAAAAACAAACCCAAACUUAAGCGCAGUGCACAUCUCUCACCUGUAAAUAUCUCCUUUGGGUGAUGGAUUUCCAGCUAGGAAUGUUAGAUUCAAUCACGCUUAUCGCUGUGUUCAGCCCCAUGUAAUGAGAUAAUCCUAACAAUGUCCAAUUCACUUUAAAAUCAAGCCAAGGUACCUUCUUCCACAAUCUUCCGCAGCAGCAGCUCUCACAGGUGAUGAAACAUGUCUGGGCAUGUUUCUUUUCAUUCUAAAUGUGUCUCUUUUUAAUUUAACGUGAUGCUUGUUCUCAUAUUGUGUGAUAAAAUGAAGCUCUGAUGCUGCGUUCUUGAGAAUUUUGACUUCCGCAAUCAGCUCCACUUUAAUCUUCUUCUCAGCAAAAUAAUUUCAGGCUGUGCCAUCUCUCAUAUAUUAAUCCUAUCAGCUCUGUAAUUAUUUUCAUUAUCAUUUCUCGAGCAUUUUUUGGACUCCUCUCAGGAGGUACAGCAGAGGAUAAAAAAAAAAAAUGCAGAAUUAAUGGGGAUCUGUGGCAUAAUCCUGUGUUAUCCCGGUGGUUUUGGCAUCCUGCUCUGUUUUUGUUUAAUAAAUGUAAACAAUCCCUUUAUAUUUUUAAGCUGCUGCUACAGAUUGAGCAACAUCAGAUGCUGAUGGCUCUCGGUGCAGGUUCUUUUCCCUCAGAGGUACCUGAAAAUUCAGGGCUUUUCAGAUCAGUGGAGCUCUAUUGCUAAUCACCAAUGGUUUGCAUUACCUUGUUUAGCCAUGUUCAGAGCUGUCUGCCGUUGUGAUGCUCAGCUUCCCACUGUGUUUAAAUUCAUUAAGCGAUGUACCCUUCAGAACUCCAUGCACGGUCUCCUACAGGUCCUUACAAACCAAAUGGUGAUGAUAUUUUGGUUAUGUUUUCCAUCAUUUUCCUUGACAAAGUGUUGUUAGGAGCUUUGCUGAAGCAUUCCUUUGGGCACCCACCCUUAGAAUAAAUCUUCGCGGUUUAAAAUCGAAGUGCUGAAAGAGUACAUGCUGGGUCUGCUCCCCUGACCGUGUCACCUUAGCAAACUUCUCCUCGUGAGCUGUUUAAACCUUCGAGCUUGCUUGUAUUUGCUAUGGGAAUGAAUAGGAUUGCAGGAGCUUUAGCACGCAGCAGAGACUCGUGGGCUAGCAGCUUUUGAGGUUAUACCCAUGAGUGCUCGAGCAGAGCUGGUGCAGCUAAUUCCUCUGUCUGCAGAGGGUGAAGCGAAGGCAGAGGGAGGCUGAGUGUUCAGUGCUGAUGGUCACAGAGGGAGCCAGAGACACGGCCAAGGCUGAAUCCGAAGGCUCUCAAUGUGCAGUCAGAGAACAAACAGUAUUUCCUCUUAAUUCGCCGUUUUCCCUCAUGAAAAGAAUCACGUCUCAUGGCUUUCUCUCCCCAUUGUUCCGAUGACUCACAUAAGCCACGGGCAUGAUACAGGCAAUGAAGCUUUGCAUUAAUCUACUGUCCAGAUUGAUAACUCUAAGGAGCAUCUCAUAAUGACCAAAAUGUGAUUAAUCAUGAUACACGUGUGAUACCCAUGCUCAUUAUUACUGGCCUCCAGAACAGUGCUGCUGAUUCCUGCCAAUAUGCUCAGUUUCGUAUCUGGAACAGACAAUACUGUAAUUACUGCCAAAGUAUGCAGGAAAAUUAAGCAGCAGCUCGGUCUGCGUUCUGCAUCGGGCUAGCAGAAAGGACUAUAGAAAAGCAUGGGAAUCAACAGCCACAAGGAAUAACAAAUAUUUUCUGUGUGUACUUCAUUUUAAAUAGAUGUUGUCUGACACAGCCAUUUAGUUUGAACUGUUGCCUUGCAGAAUUCUUUCUGGAGGAGGAAAGUGUAGGGCAUGGUGGACACAGCAACUGGAGGAAAAAAAGAAAGGAGCUGAUGAAGCGUAUUUGGAAAAGGAUCUGUCCCUCUAUGAUGUCAACACAUUUUUCUGCAGAGCUCUUUGUAUGAUGUUGCCUACCUGUAAGACAAAUUGUCUUUGUCUCGCCGUUAGAGUUCUUGUGCACCUGCGUCGAUAACUUCAUGUAGAAUACACCAAGAGAUAGCUUUUAUAUCAUGGCAUGGGGACCCACGUGCCAGUGGUCCACACAGUAGGGUGUAUAUGUUGAAAUUGACAGAUAUGGCCAUUUCCUCCCUAGGAGUGACUAAUGCCAGAGGGCAACGGUAGUUCAUUAUGCCAUGCACUGUGUCAGGGAGGUGCCCCAAGCUUAUGGUGGCCAGAAUCCCUACGAGUGAAGAACUUUUUGGUGAAUCUCCUGCUUUGUGAAGAUUGUCUUCUCAGCUGACGGACGGAAACAUCCUGACUCAGGGAAACACAAUAAUGAGGGAUUUGUGUUUCCCCUUUGUUUGCCUUUUGCAGUGCCCAGGGGUUGGAUGUGCAGGAGCAAGUCCUUGGCUCUUCUACAUGAUGUAAAUCUACCAUAUUCUCUGUUUGUUGAGAGCAACCAGGAAGGUAUUCAGGGCCCAAGAUUCCAGUUUAGGAAGUUGUAGCAAUGAUGGGCAUCUUCCCUACUCAUUGUUUGAAAGAUUGUGAUAACAGCAACAGAAAUAAUGGCAGUCAAUGAGAAAUGAAGUUCUUAGUUCUUCUGUGCAUCAGAAUACACUGCAAGCUGAUAAGCUGUGUAUGGAAAGCAUCACAGUAGUCUGUGUAGCAAAGUACAGCCAGGGAGUACACGUGCAGUGUGCUGAGGCAUUUUUAAGCAAUAUUUAAGAGGAAAAGAGGUAACCCCUAAUCUGCUUAUCCAGUGGUGCGUGGGUAAGCGUGCUGACGCUGAGGAUGUCCCUGGAGCUAUGGCAGUAAGAAGGGAAAGCAGGGAACCUCAUUCCAGGUUAUGAAAGAACAUAAUAUGCAGGAGUGUUUUAUGUAAGUCUACGAGGGGGGAAAAUGGAUGAAAAUAGGGGAAUGGAGUUGUAGUGACUGUUACACCUGCAGAAGAAGUUGACUUUAGAGGUGGUCAUAAUGUGAAUUUCCUGUGUGUGCUGUGUUUGUAAUGUGUGAAAACAAAUUUAACUCAUCAGGUGGGAAAGUUCUUACAGAACUGAUGUCUGUGGACAGAAAGGAGUUUGUAACACAGUUAAGAUGCUGCAUGUACAGAACAAAAUUUCCCUGGACUUCACUGGGCUUUGGAUCAGACCUUCCUUCUGAAUUAAAAAAAAGAAGAGUACCACAUAAAUACAGUAUUCGUUUUGCAGAUAUUCUGCUUCAAACAGAGUAACUGAGUUCAGCCACUCUGCUUUUAUUAUUAUGACAAAUAUCUCCACAUUAGCAUAAGGGAAAACAAGGGGUGAAAUGCCAGGCGUGCUCCCACGCAUCUGAACCAACAGAAUCGCUCUCUGCAUUUUGCAGACCUUCUGCAUGAAUCAUUAUGCCCAUUCUGUGUAAUAAAUAAUAAUAAUAAUAAUAAUUUGUGAUGUAAAAAGUGCUCUCAAGAGAACUUUGUUUUAUUUAGCAUUUAAUAAAUGUAUUCAGCAAGGACUGCCUUGCCUAUACACGUAUAUGCUAUAUCCGUAUUUGUGUGCCUCAUGCAGCAAAGCUGCUACCUGCUAAACACAGAUCUAUACUUCGGCCACGUGAGAAUGCCCCACUCAUCAGCUCCACUUGUUGCACCUCUCCUGGGAUGGCCAAAUCUCUCACAAAUGUGCAGUUUUAUGAGCAUCCCUCGGCACGACAGGCGUCACACAGCACUGCAAAUUCAUGAACGAAACGAACUCACUCCAUCCUCUCUCUGGAUCUGCAUGGAGCCUCUCACAAUGGGGCUGUGAUUUAUUUGGGGCCUCUGGGUAUGACUGCCAUACAAGUAGUAACUAAU